GUGGCAAGCGUUAUCCGGAAUUAUUGGGCGUAAGCGCGCGUAGCGGUUUUUUAAGUCUGAUGUGAAAGCCCACGGCUCAACCGUGGAGGGUCAUUGGAAACUGGAAGACUUGAGUGCAGAAGAGGAAAGUGGAAUUCCAUGUGUAGCGGUGAAAUGCGCAGAGAUAUGGAGGAACACCAGUGGCGAAGGCGACUUUCUGGUCUGUAACUGACGCUGAUGUGCGAAAGCGUGGGGAUCAAACAGGAUUAGAUACCCUGGU
RNAcentral lists this ribosomal RNA (259 nucleotides) under uncultured Staphylococcus sp. RNAcentral's name for it is "partial 16S ribosomal RNA". It matches the Rfam family "Bacterial small subunit ribosomal RNA", at positions 531 to 791 of the family's 1533-position model. The record is from RNAcentral. Lineage: Bacteria; Bacillati; Bacillota; Bacilli; Caryophanales; Staphylococcaceae.